Molecule: transfer RNA, 72 nt
Organism: Camelus ferus (Wild Bactrian camel)
Lineage: Eukaryota; Metazoa; Chordata; Mammalia; Artiodactyla; Camelidae
Rfam family: tRNA
About the family: Transfer RNA (tRNA) molecules are approximately 80 nucleotides in length. Their secondary structure includes four short double-helical elements and three loops (D, anti-codon, and T loops).
Source: Rfam
GAGGGUAUAGCACAGUAAUAGAGCGUGUGCUUAGCAAGCAUGAGGUCCUGAGUUCAAUCCCCAGUACCUCCA